This 378-nucleotide long non-coding RNA is filed under the name Rosa chinensis. Its description in RNAcentral is "sRNA RchiOBHm_Chr3g0457991". The record is from RNAcentral. Lineage: Eukaryota; Viridiplantae; Streptophyta; Magnoliopsida; Rosales; Rosaceae.
GCCGACCUCCUCCUCUCCCAUUGCUCCGGCCACAAUAGGUUGCUGCCCUUUCUGCACUCGGAUUGGAGAACAAAGCACAAUCAACACUGAAGGAGGGUACUAUGCUUGAAGGCAAUAGGAAAACUACUGCUGGACACAAGUGAGAAUAAAGGCUCAGGUAGUUGCUAAUAUACUCUUUAAUAUAAGUACAGAUGCAGUCAAACAACUUCGUCCAAUGGGUGACAUCUUCUCUGAAGUAGUUCUCUUACUCCAGGUAAGCAAUGGAGGCGAAAGCAAAUCAAGAACAUUACCGAUAAGAUGUUUGAUCAUUUCAAAAACAUGAUAGGAAGAGCAUAUAUGAGAUUCGAGGAUGGGCAAGUUUCAGACCUCUUUUUUGUU